This 1904-nucleotide long non-coding RNA is filed under the name Strigops habroptila (Kakapo). RNAcentral describes it as "lncRNA (ENSSHBG00005000870.1)". The record is from RNAcentral. Lineage: Eukaryota; Metazoa; Chordata; Aves; Psittaciformes; Psittacidae.
GCCAUGUUUAUAAAUCAGUUUUUUUAUAUUUUGUACUGAAAGCAAUUGGAGCACUUUUAGGAAAGUUAUUUCAAAUUCCAUUUCUCUUUGCACCUGGAAGGAAAUCUCUCAUGGAAAGCAGAUCCUGUCAGCAUAACUGCAUCUCACUCGGAGCUGUGAACUCUUGAUGCUCUUUAGUCUUAGGUCCGGUUUCUAGGCCCACCUUGCACUGUAAAGAUUUAAUAACUAAUCAUGGUCCGUGGUUAAAUUGACCAUUUUGUUGGGGAAGUGUUUGGUUUGGUUUUUCGUUAGGGUAGUAAACAGUGUAAAUAAUUCCUUUCUGUGAUACUGCAGCAGCCACAUCUUUGUAGUCUUUAUUUUAUUUGUAAAGUCGAUGGUUCAAUGUUACCAUUCUGUUGGAAUUGUGCACUCAUGAUUAAUUGUAACUUGAUCUUAGCACACCAAAUGAUGAUUUUUACAAUGAUUGCAAUGUUUCUCCACUGAAGGAUUUCAGAGCUGCAAUAGGACUGAAACCAACUUCUAGCAAUAAAAAAGAACAUUUAAAACUGGCUGCCUCUCUCUAUAUAUAUUUAUCAUUAUUACAUUUGAACCAAAGAUCAGAGGCAGCAGCCACUUCUCACGUGCUUCUCAUUUUCUACCCUGGACAGAAAUAAGGUGCCAUAUGAACCAAACUCGUGAGGUUUUCCAGAGGAGAGGAGGGAGACAGGAGGUGUUAAGGUGGAUGGAUAUGAAUAGUUUUUUUGUGGCCCUUGCCAGCGAGGGGUAGGCUCCCUUGGAAAAAUCGCUGGUCCCAGAAUGUCUGAACUCAGCAGUAUGGUGAGUGAACCCAACACGCUGCUUAUAUUAGCAUGAGGUACUUUGCAUGGGUGGCCAGGCUGAGACAUGCCUGGCUCUGUCCCAGACGGAUAUCGGGUCCCAUUGGAAACAGGCAAACAAAAUGAGAACUUUCACCCUUCGUGCUCGUGCAAUUGGCAGCGUCGCUCCCAGCACCGUCCCAUCGCCUGCCGGCUGGCGCAGCGCUUCCCGCUCCACAUCAGCACGUUGUGUUUCCUGGUCAAAUCCCCACUUGUGGCACGCUGGCCCAAUCGCAGUAACCUCAUCCUAGAGGUAGAACAGAGGCAAAACUGCGGGGCGAGGGGAAGAGCUGCGACUUGGAGCAGUGCUCUCCGAGGAAGAGGUGUGAUUUUGAUCAGCGGAAUCCUGCUCCAUAGCGUUGAGGAAAACCCUGAGCUGGUUUUGGGUUUUGGCAUCAUUGACGGUGCCAAUGGUGCGCUGUGCCAGGCACUUGGCACAGCGAUACAUCUUUGUGUCUAUCAAAGCAUCUUUGGAGGCCCUGUGUUCUUUGUGUGCCGGAGGCAGUCGGAUGCAGGCUGCAUUUUCAGUCUCCAGAGUACGGUUGACAUCUGGGUUGCAGCAUAAACUGGAACUCGCUUGGAAAAACGCAAGUUUUUCCUGCUUUUCCCAGCAUAUGUAAAUAAUCACAAACUUCCAGGCACACCACCAUUUAAAAUAUGGCUUAAUGUUUAUGGGAAGUAACAGGCUGAUGUGCCAGUGAGUGAAGUUUUGAAGUGUUUGCGUAAGCUUUUGCUUGCACUUCCUUUAAGAGAACAUUUCUUACAUCUGGUUCUGCCCUGCUCCAUUCCCCAGCAGCAGAGCAGCCACUGGAGGUCCCUGUCUCUGCGCCUGGUCAGAUCUGCAAGGCGAGCAGCUUUGUGUCUGCUUCUAAAUGUUUGUCAGCAGGAAGAAAUGGAAUCCAAGUGAUUUCAUGGGGGACAGCUGAGAGGGACAGUCUAGGACAGCAGUUCUUCCAGAGCAGUGAGUUGGAUUUUCUGAUUGCACCGUAUUCUGCAGCCAUAAUCGUGUGUCAAUGCAGUAGGAAUUGCCUCUAGAAAGUCGGAAGAGCC